UCUGUCAACAGGAACUGCCACGUUUUCUCUUGUUUUCAUUAUUCAGAACACCCCCUGCCCCGCCUUCCAUCAUGACUUCUAUGCUCAUGGAAAAACUUUAACAACCUGCAGCCUACCUGUCCUUGUUUUUAAGGCAUUUUUGGGAAGACAGCUGGAUUUCCUGGAUGCCAAGCAAAACUGUGCUGUGCAGGAUGUCUUAACGCUGGCACCAGUGACUCGUAAGCAUCAUGGUUAAAGGGAUCUCUUUAUCAGCCCACUCCCACCAGCUUCUGAAGCCAAUCCCAUCAUUGGAAUUCCGUGGUUUUCAUGAUAACCUAAAACCAAAGAAGCCAGAAGAAUAGAAGUUACCAGUGGCACAAAACCUGGGCAGCUCACAUAUCCCCCACAUUAUCUGUGGUACUGCAACAAGGACAUUCUGGAUCAUAACAAUAAUAACGACAAUAGUAGAAGCUGAUAGCCAAAGUGUGUCCUCCAGAAGAGAUUACACUCCAGAGUGUGUGGCACGGGACACUUGGACAGUUCUGCAGGGAGCUAGGCUGGGCCCCGCAGAGUUCAGUAGAUAAAGCUCAGGACUGCACAAACACAAUUAUACACCUCCCGAACCCUCCCUGACCUUAAAAUCCUUAGGCUGCCUUCACGUGGCACUGCACCUGAACGAUAAACCACGCUGUACUGAGCCACCUUGGGUCUCUACAUCCAUGGCACAGUUAAUCUGCAGUCCAGAUAUCCAUGCAGACCAUGGAUAUUUGACGGAUGAAGUUCAGUCCAAUACAUUACUCAUCUCCAGCUGAAAGUAUAUUUAAGCAUUGGAGAACCAGGAGAACUUGUUUCCCUCUUCUAGUCUCUGGGGCGAGACAAAGAGCUAUAUUCAUCUAAAAUCUUGAAAAUCCAGGUGACCAGAUCAAUUCAAUCACCUCAUUUUCACAAAUGCAUCCUUUUUAAUAAAUGUAUUUUAGGAAUUCUCUCCUUUUCACUUUUUAUUUAAUUCCACUUUCUGUGGGAGUAGAAUCUGACAUAUAUUGAAUAAUAAAAAAAGGGAAGUGGAUCACCCGCUCUUUCCUGCUCUAAUAAAAAUGAUAAAAGUUACAUUUCCAAAUAAACAUAUGUUAAGCUACAUGACUGCUUAAAUCAGGGACCUCCCUUGAUGUGUAUCCUCCAGUACCUCUUAUGCUUCUGGUUAACAUUAACAAAAAGAAAAACAAAAGUAGUUUAAAGGAGCCAUACCUUAUUUAAGAGAUGUAAUUUAGUGUUUACCAAGCAAUGAGAAUAUGUGCUUCUUAAAGAAAAUAAACAAACGUGAAUGCAAAACAAGAUUAAAAUAGCUACUACAGA
This is a non-coding RNA of Phalacrocorax carbo (great cormorant), 1332 nucleotides long. NCBI's taxonomy places the organism in Eukaryota, Metazoa, Chordata, Aves, Suliformes, Phalacrocoracidae. The record is from RefSeq and is a predicted model, not a curated record.